GGGCCCGAAGUUUAAACGGUUGAACAUUUGGCUGGCAGCCAGAAGGUAACGGGUUCGAUUCCCGUCGGGUCCA
RNAcentral lists this transfer RNA (73 nucleotides) under Candidatus Levybacteria bacterium CG_4_10_14_0_8_um_filter_35_23. Its description in RNAcentral is "tRNA-Ala". It matches the Rfam family "tRNA". From Rfam's summary of the family: Transfer RNA (tRNA) molecules are approximately 80 nucleotides in length. Their secondary structure includes four short double-helical elements and three loops (D, anti-codon, and T loops). Further hydrogen bonds mediate the characteristic L-shaped molecular structure. tRNAs have two regions of fundamental functional importance: the anti-codon, which is responsible for specific mRNA codon recognition, and the 3' end, to which the tRNAs corresponding amino acid is attached (by aminoacyl-tRNA synthetases). tRNAs cope with the degeneracy of the genetic code in two manners: having more than one tRNA (with a specific anti-codon) for a particular amino acid; and 'wobble' base-pairing, i.e. permitting non-standard base-pairing at the 3rd anti-codon position. The record is from RNAcentral. Lineage: Bacteria; Candidatus Levyibacteriota.